This 555-nucleotide long non-coding RNA is filed under the name Gossypium barbadense (sea-island cotton). RNAcentral describes it as "long non-coding RNA (GBAR_LNC015418)". The record is from RNAcentral. Lineage: Eukaryota; Viridiplantae; Streptophyta; Magnoliopsida; Malvales; Malvaceae.
UUACAUCUGACAGACAGGUCCAAAAUCUUGCAUCACCAUUCUACAUUAUUCACUCUUUUUCAAGUACAAAUCAGAGCAAUAGAUCAUUACUUAUAUACCUCUCUUUACGGUUUUUGAAGAGAAAACUGGAAUGCAGUAGAUCAUAUGUUCGAGGGUAUGUACUCAAUGACUCGCACCAGUCAUGAUAGAUUCCGAUCAAGCCCCUUUCGAAAAUAAUGGACAAGGUAUCUUGUGCAUCAAUUGGUACAACGUUCAUCACCCAGAGAGGAAGCUCAUUAAGUGCCGCCGCAAACCUGUAAAACCACUGCCUAUAGUGUUGUAAGAUUUCUUUAUGAUAGAAACCUGUAAAAACAUUGUUCUAUUUCUUACCCUCCAUAACCAGCAUUCAUAUCCAUCACAUUUCUUAUACUAGCCCAGUUUAUAGCUAGAGCAUCAAAGUAGACAUCAGAUACAAGUGCAGCCCAAUGUUUGGUGUCCUCAUUGAAUAUAGCUUCGGCAUCCGGUUCAGCUGGAAGGCUUUGAGGCUUAUUCCUAAGCCUGUGGGGCCAUGGUGAG